This 492-nucleotide ribosomal RNA is filed under the name uncultured bacterium. Its description in RNAcentral is "partial 16S ribosomal RNA". It matches the Rfam family "Bacterial small subunit ribosomal RNA", at positions 29 to 507 of the family's 1533-position model. The record is from RNAcentral.
AGUGAACGCUGGCGGUAGGCCUAACACAUGCAAGUCGAACGGCAGCACAGUAAGAGCUUGCUCUUACGGGUGGCGAGUGGCGGACGGGUGAGGAAUACAUCGGAAUCUACUUUUUCGUGGGGGAUAACGUAGGGAAACUUACGCUAAUACCGCAUACGACCUACGGGUGAAAGCAGGGGAUCUUCGGACCUUGCGCGAUUGAAUGAGCCGAUGUCGGAUUAGCUAGUUGGCGGGGUAAAGGCCCACCAAGGCGACGAUCCGUAGCUGGUCUGAGAGGAUGAUCCGCCCAACUGGAACUGAGACACGGUCCAGACUCCUACGGGAGGCAGCAGUGGGGAAUAUUGGACAAUGGGCGCAAGCCUGAUCCAGCCAUACCGCGUGGGUGAAGAAGGCCUUCGGGUUGUAAAGCCCUUUUGUUGGGAAAGAAAAGCAGCAGGUUAAUACCCCGCUGUUCUGACGGUACCCAAAGAAUAAGCACCGGCUAACUUCGUG